CGCAUGUGCGCUGUGGAUACGCUUUUUUAUGCAGUCGAACGGCAGCACGGGGGCAACCCUGGUGGCGAGUGGCGAACGGGUGAGUAACACAUCGGAACGUGCCCAGUCGUGGGGGAUAACGUAGCGAAAGCUACGCUAAUACCGCAUACGAACUCUGGUUGAAAGCGGGGGAUCGCAAGACCUCGCGCGAUUGGAGCGGCCGAUGGCAGAUUAGGUAGUUGGUGGGGUAAAGGCUCACCAAGCCGACGAUCUGUAGCUGGUCUGAGAGGACGACCAGCCACACUGGGACUGAGACACGGCCCAGACUCCUACGGGAGGCAGCAGUGGGGAAUUUUGGACAAUGGGCGCAAGCCUGAUCCAGCCAUUCCGCGUGCAGGAUGAGGGGGCGCGGGUUGUAAACUGCUUUUGUACGGAACGAAACGGCCUGGGUUAAUACCUCGGGCUAAUGACGGUACCGUAAGAAUAAGCACCGGCUAACUACGUGCCAGCAGCCGCGGUAAUACGUAGGGUGCAAGCGUUAAUCGGAAUUACUGGGCGUAAAGCGUGCGCAGGCGGUGAUGUAAGACAGGUGUGAAUCCCCGGGCUUAACCUGGGAACUGCAUUUUGUGACUGCUCGCUGGAGUGCGGCAAAGGGGGAUGGAAUC
RNAcentral lists this ribosomal RNA (644 nucleotides) under Ramlibacter sp. RS212. RNAcentral's name for it is "bacterial SSU rRNA". It matches the Rfam family "Bacterial small subunit ribosomal RNA", at positions 26 to 668 of the family's 1533-position model. The record is from RNAcentral. Lineage: Bacteria; Pseudomonadati; Pseudomonadota; Betaproteobacteria; Burkholderiales; Comamonadaceae.